GACGAACGCUGGCGGCGUGCUUAAUACAUGCAAGUCGAACGGAAAGGCCCUGAUUUUGCGGGGUGGUCGAGUGGCGAACGGGUGAGUAACACGCGAGUAACCUGUCCUUGACUUUGGGGUAACUUCAGGAAACUGGGGCUAAUACCGGAUAGGAGCUCCUGAUGCAUGGUGGGGGUUGGAAAGUUUCGGUGGUUGGGGAUGGACUCGCGGCUUAUCAGCUGGUUGGUGGGGUAGUGGCUUACCACGGCUUUGACGGGUAGCCGGCCUGAGAGGGUGACCGGCCACAUUGGGCCUGCGAUACGGCCCAGACUCCUACGGGACGCAGCAGUGGAGAAUAUUGCACAAUGGGCGGAAGCCUGAUGCAGCAACGCCGCGUGCGGGAUGACGGUCUUCGGGUUGUAAACCGCUUUCGCCUGUGACGAAGCGUGAGUGACGGUAAUGGGUAAAGAAGCACCGGCUAACUACGUG
RNAcentral lists this ribosomal RNA (468 nucleotides) under uncultured bacterium. Its description in RNAcentral is "partial 16S ribosomal RNA". It matches the Rfam family "Bacterial small subunit ribosomal RNA", at positions 28 to 507 of the family's 1533-position model. The record is from RNAcentral.